This is an RNA transcript of Zea mays, 1257 nucleotides long. It is a transcript of the gene named protein-like pseudogene, with no coding region annotated. The transcript has a single exon. NCBI's taxonomy places the organism in Eukaryota, Viridiplantae, Streptophyta, Magnoliopsida, Poales, Poaceae. The record is from RefSeq and is marked validated.
CGUACGUCUCCUGAUUCCAGCGCUCAGUCUCCUACACAUGGCGCGCGCGCUCACCCAGCUCUUCCCCUUCCAGCAGCUGAGCACGCCGUCCCUCCCUAUUUUAGCUCGCCUCUGUCCUCCAUGGUCCGGUCAGGGACACCCACGUCGAGCUCCAUCACACGCACGCUCAGCUCCAGCUCAGUCGAGCUCGUCCCUGCGAGCGCGUUCUCCUGCGUCCAGCCGGGCGCGCGAAGCUUCUCUGCUCACGGCGCUCCCUGUCUGCUCGGCCAUGGUGAAACCCUCCCUGCCAUGGACGCCGGAGUUCCUCUGCUCGUUCUCAUGGCCGCCGUCGAGCUUCCGGCGCACGCCCAUCUCCUCUGCUCUCCCGCGCGCGUCCUGGAACUCUCCAUCGCGUCGAUCUAUGCUUGUUCGUGGUCGCGCGUAGUCGUCCAGCUCAGCCUCUGCUCUGUUCCUGCUACUGCGCGCGUGCUCGUCGGUGUUCUCAGCUCGCCCGACCGGAGUUUUUCCUGCGCGCACCGUUUUCCCAGCUCGGAUUUCGCGAGCCACCGUUGUCCUAUCCGCGUCAGCACGUGACCGUGGUCGUGUUCAUCGAGUUCGCCAACGCUUUGUUAACGAUUCGAUUGUCGUCGCUGCUGCGUGCCUCGUUGUGUGCUCACGUUUGACGUCGAGCUGUUGAAACCGCUCUCCCUUGCUCGUGAUCUCGUUAUCGUUAGAGCCCUCUCUGGAUUCGUGUCCUCACCCGAGCCCGCGCUAACCUGCUCAACCACACCUCGCGAGCUCGCUCCAGACUCGAUCUCGUCGUCGUUCCGUACGUCAUCAAAAAUUUCAAGAGUCGAGUGAAGAUAAAGCUAGCAGCGUGAUAUUCACCAAGUGCUCGACAAAAAGCUUGAACAAGUCGUCGAUCGUUAUCCUCGUCUACGCCAAGAUCCGAGAAGAUUGAGUGCAGAAGAAAAUAAAUCAGUACGCGGUCGGAGAAUUCUCGAGUGGAUAAAGAUAAAGCGCGAUUCGACGCAACACUUACCCUAUUUUCAGUGAAAUGCUGAGCUAAAAGGCGUCGUCGAUUUCGUGGUUUCAAGUCAGAUUUAAUGAGGGUAAGUUGAUUCGUUAUUCUAGUCAACUAGGUAUAUAAAUAGAUUAAAUAAAAUUGUUGGUCGUGAUAAUUGUUAUUAAUUUAGCAUACGUAUAUUGUGAUGUUUGAUCUAGAUGAAUCGGUAAUUCAAAUUAAUUAAGAUAAACAGUUUAAAGAGUUAAUUAGAU